UGGGGAAUAUUGCACAAUGGGCGAAAGCCUGAUGCAGCGACGCCGCGUGAGGGAUGACGGCCUUCGGGUUGUAAACCUCUUUCAGCAGGGAAGAAGCGAAAGUGACGGUACCUGCAGAAGAAGCGCCGGCUAACUACGUGCCAGCAGCCGCGGUAAUACGUAGGGCGCAAGCGUUGUCCGGAAUUAUUGGGCGUAAGGAGCUCGUAGGCGGUUAGUCGCGUCUGCUGUGAAAACUCGAGGCUCAACCUCGGGCUUGCAGUGGGUACGGGCUGACUAGAGUGCGGUAGGGGUGACUGGAAUUCCUGGUGUAGCGGUGGAAUGCGCAGAUAUCAGGAGGAACACCGAUGGCGAAGGCAGGUCACUGGGCCGCAACUGACGCUGAGGAGCGAAAGCAUGGGGAGCGAACAGGAUUAGAUACCCCUGGUAGUCCAUGCCGUAAACGUUGGGCACUAGGUGUGGGGUCCAUUUCCACGGAUUCCGUGCCGCAGCAAACGCAUUAAGUGCCCCGCCUGGGGAGUACGGCCGCAAGGCUAAAACUU
Molecule: ribosomal RNA, 539 nt
Filed under: uncultured bacterium
Lineage: Bacteria
Description: partial 16S ribosomal RNA
Rfam family: Bacterial small subunit ribosomal RNA
Source: RNAcentral